This 33-nucleotide ribosomal RNA is filed under the name Rotylenchulus reniformis. Its description in RNAcentral is "partial 18S ribosomal RNA". The record is from RNAcentral. Lineage: Eukaryota; Metazoa; Nematoda; Chromadorea; Rhabditida; Hoplolaimidae.
GUUUCCGUAGGUGAACCUGCUGCUGGAUCAUCA